Molecule: ribosomal RNA, 245 nt
Filed under: uncultured bacterium
Lineage: Bacteria
Description: partial 16S ribosomal RNA
Rfam family: Bacterial small subunit ribosomal RNA
Source: RNAcentral
UACGUAGGGAGCGAGCGUUAUCCGGAUUCAUUGGGCGUAAAGCGCGCGUAGGCGGCUGCCUAGCGGAACCUCUAACCCCGGGGCUCAACCUCGGGCCGGGUUCCGAACUGGGCGGCUCGAGUGCGGUAGAGGAGAGCGGAAUUCCUGGUGUAGCGGUGGAAUGCGCAGGAUAUCGGGAAGAACACCGAUGGCGAAGGCAGCUCUCUGGGCCGGCACUGACGCUGAGGCGCGAAAGCUGGGGGAGC